AUGCUGUGAGCUCGAUGAGUAGGGCGGGACACGUGGUAUCCUGUCUGAAUAUGGGGGGACCAUCCUCCAAGGCUAAAUACUCCUGACUGACCGAUAGUGAACCAGUACCGUGAGGGAAAGGCGAAAAGAACCCCGGCGAGGGGAGUGAAAAAGAACCUGAAACCGUGUACGUACAAGCAGUGGGAGCACAGGUUUACCUGUGUGACUGCGUACCUUUUGUAUAAUGGGUCAGCGACUUAUAUUCUGUAGCAAGGUUAACCGAAUAGGGGAGCCGGAGGGAAACCGAGUCUUAAUUGGGCGUUAAGUUGCAGGGUAUAGACCCGAAACCCGGUGAUCUAGCCAUGGGCAGGUUGAAGGUUGGGUAACACUAACUGGAGGACCGAACCGACUAAUGUUGAAAAAUUAGCGGAUGACCUGUGGCUGGGGGUGAAAGGCCAAUCAAACCGGGAGAUAGCUGGUUCUCCCCGAAAGCUAUUUAGGUAGCGCCUCGUGAAUUCAUCUCCGGGGGUAGAGCACUGUUUCGGCUAGGGGGCCAUCCCGGCUUACCAACCCGAUGCAAACUGCGAAUACCGGAGAAUGUUAUCACGGGAGACACACGGCGGGUGCUAACGUCCGUCGUGAAGAGGGAAACAACCCAGACCGCCAGCUAAGGUCCCAAAGUCAUGGUUAAGUGGGAAACGAUGUGGGAAGGCCCAGACAGCCAGGAUGUUGGCUUAGAAGCAGCCAUCAUUUAAAGAAAGCGUAAUAGCUCACUGGUCGAGUCGGCCUGCGCGGAAGAUGUAACGGGGCUAAACCAUGCACCGAAGCUGCGGCAGCGACGCUGAUGCGUUGUUGGGUAGGGGAGCGUUCUGUAAGCCUG
This 859-nucleotide ribosomal RNA is filed under the name Salmonella enterica subsp. enterica serovar Brandenburg. Its description in RNAcentral is "partial 23S ribosomal RNA". It matches the Rfam family "Bacterial large subunit ribosomal RNA", at positions 394 to 1251 of the family's 2925-position model. The record is from RNAcentral. Lineage: Bacteria; Pseudomonadati; Pseudomonadota; Gammaproteobacteria; Enterobacterales; Enterobacteriaceae.